Molecule: small nucleolar RNA, 126 nt
Organism: Hemicordylus capensis (graceful crag lizard)
Lineage: Eukaryota; Metazoa; Chordata; Lepidosauria; Squamata; Cordylidae
Product: small nucleolar RNA SNORA40
Exons: 1
Source: RefSeq, a predicted model, not a curated record
AGCACAGCUUCAGGUUCUGGCUAGUCUCGUAGACAAAAAACCAUGGAGCAAGUGCUAAGAGUCAAAUCUUCCUUUGCAACCCACAGCUGAUCUGUAUUAGUUGUGUUACUUAUAGGAAGAGACAUG